RNAcentral lists this small RNA (30 nucleotides) under Bombyx mori (domestic silkworm). RNAcentral describes it as "ovarian small RNA-7773". The record is from RNAcentral. Lineage: Eukaryota; Metazoa; Arthropoda; Insecta; Lepidoptera; Bombycidae.
UCUGAAAGAUCCGUCCUUCUUCGGGACAAG